GAUGAACGCUGGCGGCGUGCCUAAUACAUGCAAGUCGAGCGAACAGACGCGGCUCUUGCUCCUCGCACGUUAGCGGCGCACGGGUGAUUAACGCGUGGAUCACCCACCUAUAAGACUGGUAUCACUUCGAGAAACCGGCGCUAAUAGCGGAUAAUAUAUUUAACCGCAUGGUUCAAUAGUGAAAGACGGUUUUGCUGUCACUUAUCGAUGGAUCAGCGCCGCUGUAGCUGGUUGGUCAGGUAAACGCUUACCAAGGGAAAGAUGCGUAGCCGAAGUGAGAGGGUGAUCGGCCACACGGGAAGUGGGACACGCUCCAGACUACUACGGGACGGAGCAGUCGGGAAUCGGACGCAAUGGGCGAAAGUUUUACGGAGCAACGGCGCGUGAGUGAUGAAGGUCCUCCGAUCGUAACACUCUGUUAUUAGGGAAGAACAAAUGUGUACGUAAAUAUGCCCGUCUUGACGGUACCUAAUCAGAAAGCAACGGCUAACUACGUG
Molecule: ribosomal RNA, 497 nt
Filed under: uncultured bacterium
Lineage: Bacteria
Description: partial 16S ribosomal RNA
Rfam family: Bacterial small subunit ribosomal RNA
Source: RNAcentral